This 74-nucleotide transfer RNA is filed under the name Ixodes scapularis (black-legged tick). RNAcentral's name for it is "tRNA-Ser for anticodon GGA". It matches the Rfam family "tRNA". Rfam says of the family: Transfer RNA (tRNA) molecules are approximately 80 nucleotides in length. Their secondary structure includes four short double-helical elements and three loops (D, anti-codon, and T loops). Lineage: Eukaryota; Metazoa; Arthropoda; Arachnida; Ixodida; Ixodidae. The record is from RNAcentral.
GCCGGGAUGGUCUAAUCGGUUAAGGCGUCGCCCCGGACAGGCUAGGGUUGCGGGUUCAAUCCCCGCUCCUGGCC